UACGGAGGGGGCUAGCGUUGUUCGGAAUUACUGGGCGUAAAGCGCACGUAGGCGGACUGUGAAGUCGGGGGUGAAAUCCUGGGGCUCAACCUCAGAAUUGCCUCCGAUACUGGCAGCCUCGAGUGCGGGAGAGGUGAGUGGAAUUCCCAGUGUAGAGGUGAAAUUCGUAGAUAUUGGGAAGAACACCAGUGGCGAAGGCGGCUCACUGGCCCGUAACUGACGCUGAGGUGCGAAAGCGUGGGGAGCAAACAGG
This 253-nucleotide ribosomal RNA is filed under the name uncultured bacterium. Its description in RNAcentral is "partial 16S ribosomal RNA". It matches the Rfam family "Bacterial small subunit ribosomal RNA", at positions 524 to 776 of the family's 1533-position model. The record is from RNAcentral.